This is a long non-coding RNA of Haliotis rubra (blacklip abalone), 864 nucleotides long. RefSeq lists it as uncharacterized. The transcript is spliced from 2 exons. The record is from RefSeq and is a predicted model, not a curated record. NCBI's taxonomy places the organism in Eukaryota, Metazoa, Mollusca, Gastropoda, Lepetellida, Haliotidae.
UAAUGAUCCGAUACCCGUACUUCAAACAGCUCAAAAUUAACAUUGAGGUGUUGAUCAGCAAUGAUCUUCGUGACCAGUGAACAGCCUAAAAGAGUAGUGUUUCGUUAAGUAAAUUGUUUUGAGUGUGGACAAACGUAGUUUCUCAUGUUAGGUCACGAAUUACUGCACGAUUCGAGCACGACUUGCGUUGACGUAAAUGACGGAUCCUUCUACAUUGUCUUGUUGUCCACCGUGUAGCCUGCACCUGUGGCCACACCGAUUUUGAUACUGUGCCACCAAGGUUAGCAGGAUGAUUGGGAACCUUGCAUGGAUGGCGUAGAUGCGAAGACAUGUCGGUCUAUCGUCGCAGAUGAGCCUGAGUAUCCAUCAGUAAAUGAUUGUACGGAUUGUGGGAGUUUUUUUUUACAUUUCUAUAUUUUUGUUGAAUCUAUACAUAGUUGCACAUGUAUAUAAUUGUCUAUAUAAACAAAACGUGACAAGAUGUCCGUACAUUUUUGCUAUGUAUUUCGUAAAGUAAUAUAAGCUUUGUGAAUUUCUCCUGUAUCAUUUCAAAAUAUAUUGGUGUUCAUAUCAAGCACCACGCUCCUAUAGUUUCAUAUAUGAAGAACGCUUAGACAUGCUUGUAUGUAAAACACUUUCAUUAAUGUUAAAGAUACCACCGAGGGCUGCUAUGUUAGAACAAAACCGUGAGUUGUAUCGACAGAAGGUUUUUGUCAUGUUAUAACACAGUAUGAAACAGGAGUAUCUGUAAUGUCACUUGAUGUUUUACUCUUUCCUGGUCCUUGGUAUUUUGUGAUUAAUCAUAUACAUGUAUACAAGUGCACUUGUUUGAUUCGUAAAAUUAAUGCAUUCUUGACCACAGAA